This is a long non-coding RNA of Sander lucioperca (pikeperch), 449 nucleotides long. RefSeq lists it as uncharacterized. The transcript has 3 exons. The record is from RefSeq and is a predicted model, not a curated record. NCBI's taxonomy places the organism in Eukaryota, Metazoa, Chordata, Actinopteri, Perciformes, Percidae.
UCAAAGAAAAGGAAUGCAUGGAAAUCCAUCUGUAAUGAAUUUAAUGCAAAUGAACAAACAUCCACAAGAACAAUACAACAGCUUCAGGUUUUGUGGAAGAAUAUAAAAAUCAACCUAAAAAAAACUGCUGCAGAAGCCCGAAGAGAGAGGUUUAAGACUGGUGGAGGACCUGCAAAUAAAGAUACUGAUCAGUUGGAUGACUUACUGACAGGAAUAAUGGAGAACUAGCAACCUUUGGAGAACAUACCAGAUGAUGACCAUCUAGACAGUUCAGAUGAGGGAUCACACACACAUACUACAAUGGGAGAAAGUCAAAGGGACAUAACUGAAGCGCUGCAAGGUAAUUUACCCUCCACAUCCUCAGAAACUAGGGUGGCAGUGUCUGCCAGUACCGGUCAUCAAAACAAAAGUCACAAUCCACGAAAAGCUGGCCAUUGAAUUUCAUGAAC